Molecule: ribosomal RNA, 444 nt
Filed under: uncultured bacterium
Lineage: Bacteria
Description: partial 16S ribosomal RNA
Rfam family: Bacterial small subunit ribosomal RNA
Source: RNAcentral
GUAGGGAAUAUUGGGCAAUGGUCGGAAGACUGACCCAGCCAUGCCGCGUGCAGGAAGACGGCCCUCUGGGUUGUAAACUGCUUUUAUCUGGGAAGAAAAAGGCCAUGCGUGGCAAAUUGCCGGUACCAGAUGAAUAAGCACCGGCUAACUCCGUGCCAGCAGCCGCGGUAAUACGGAGGGUGCGAGCGUUGUCCGGAUUUAUUGGGUUUAAAGGGUGCGUAGGCGGCUGAUUAAGUCAGCGGUGAAAGACUUCGGCUUAACCGGAGCAGUGCCGUUGAUACUGGUUGGCUUGAGUGUCGGAGGGGUACAUGGAAUUGAUGGUGUAGCGGUGAAAUGCAUAGAUACCAUCAGGAACACCGAUAGCGAAGGCAUUGUACUGGCCAACAACUGACGCUGAUGCACGAAAGUGUGGGGAUCGAACAGGAUUAGAUACCCCAGUAGUCC